UGCCCUGUAGCGUAAUGGCUAUCGCACUUGACUCUGGAUCAAGGAAUUUCAGGUUCGAAUCCUGACAGGGCAG
Molecule: transfer RNA, 73 nt
Filed under: Ignavibacteriales bacterium
Lineage: Bacteria; Pseudomonadati; Ignavibacteriota; Ignavibacteria; Ignavibacteriales
Rfam family: tRNA
About the family: Transfer RNA (tRNA) molecules are approximately 80 nucleotides in length. Their secondary structure includes four short double-helical elements and three loops (D, anti-codon, and T loops). Further hydrogen bonds mediate the characteristic L-shaped molecular structure. tRNAs have two regions of fundamental functional importance: the anti-codon, which is responsible for specific mRNA codon recognition, and the 3' end, to which the tRNAs corresponding amino acid is attached (by aminoacyl-tRNA synthetases). tRNAs cope with the degeneracy of the genetic code in two manners: having more than one tRNA (with a specific anti-codon) for a particular amino acid; and 'wobble' base-pairing, i.e. permitting non-standard base-pairing at the 3rd anti-codon position.
Source: Rfam by way of RNAcentral